GGUCAGAUAGCUCAGUUGGUAGAGCACGGCCCUGAAAAGGCCGGUGUCCGCGGUUCGAGCCCGCGUCUGACCAC
Molecule: transfer RNA, 74 nt
Filed under: Novipirellula herctigrandis
Lineage: Bacteria; Pseudomonadati; Planctomycetota; Planctomycetia; Pirellulales; Pirellulaceae
Also listed under: 1 other name
Description: Planctomycetes bacterium CA13 tRNA-Phe
Rfam family: tRNA
About the family: Transfer RNA (tRNA) molecules are approximately 80 nucleotides in length.
Source: RNAcentral